Molecule: transfer RNA, 69 nt
Filed under: Lasioderma redtenbacheri
Lineage: Eukaryota; Metazoa; Arthropoda; Insecta; Coleoptera; Ptinidae
Description: tRNA-Gln
Rfam family: tRNA
About the family: Transfer RNA (tRNA) molecules are approximately 80 nucleotides in length. Their secondary structure includes four short double-helical elements and three loops (D, anti-codon, and T loops).
Source: RNAcentral
UACAUUAUAGUAUAUGAAGUACAUUAACUUUUGAUGUUAAAAGAAAUAGUUUAAUUCUAUUAAAUGUAA